Molecule: non-coding RNA, 24 nt
Filed under: Arabidopsis thaliana (thale cress)
Lineage: Eukaryota; Viridiplantae; Streptophyta; Magnoliopsida; Brassicales; Brassicaceae
Source: RNAcentral
UAUGGGCCUCCCAUCUCAUGGGCC